This 114-nucleotide non-coding RNA is filed under the name Thiotrichales bacterium. RNAcentral's name for it is "c-di-GMP sequence". It matches the Rfam family "c-di-GMP-I riboswitch aptamer". From Rfam's summary of the family: GEMM was predicted in a large-scale screen for bacterial structured RNA regulatory elements. Lineage: Bacteria; Pseudomonadati; Pseudomonadota; Gammaproteobacteria; Thiotrichales. The record is from RNAcentral.
UUGCGACAAAGGCAAAACCAGUUAAAGCUGGUGACGCAAUGCCACGGGUCCUCGCUUCCUCCGCGACGCCGUCUGCGACGCCACGAAGGACCCCAAGAUCGCCGGGCUGCCGCG